GACCUGUUUGCCUGGACCCAUCAACAGCUGGGAGACUAAUCAACCACACUGAAAAUGU
Molecule: unclassified non-coding RNA, 58 nt
Organism: Bison bison bison
Lineage: Eukaryota; Metazoa; Chordata; Mammalia; Artiodactyla; Bovidae
Source: Ensembl